ACUAUACUCCCUCCGUCCGGAAAUACUCGUCGGAAGAAUGGGUGUAUCUAGAUAUAUUUUAAUUCUACAUACAUCCAUUUUUAUGCAUUUCUUCGACAAGUAUUUCCGGACGAAGGGAGUAGUUG
Triticum aestivum (bread wheat) is the source of this 125-nucleotide non-coding RNA. The record is from Rfam. Lineage: Eukaryota; Viridiplantae; Streptophyta; Magnoliopsida; Poales; Poaceae.